Molecule: transfer RNA, 69 nt
Filed under: Prismognathus prossi
Lineage: Eukaryota; Metazoa; Arthropoda; Insecta; Coleoptera; Lucanidae
Description: tRNA-Met
Rfam family: tRNA
About the family: Transfer RNA (tRNA) molecules are approximately 80 nucleotides in length. Their secondary structure includes four short double-helical elements and three loops (D, anti-codon, and T loops). Further hydrogen bonds mediate the characteristic L-shaped molecular structure. tRNAs have two regions of fundamental functional importance: the anti-codon, which is responsible for specific mRNA codon recognition, and the 3' end, to which the tRNAs corresponding amino acid is attached (by aminoacyl-tRNA synthetases). tRNAs cope with the degeneracy of the genetic code in two manners: having more than one tRNA (with a specific anti-codon) for a particular amino acid; and 'wobble' base-pairing, i.e. permitting non-standard base-pairing at the 3rd anti-codon position.
Source: RNAcentral
AGGCGAGUAAGCUAAUCAAGCUAAUGGGUUCAUACCCCAUCUAUAAAGGUUGUACUCCUUUCUUAUCUA